GAUGAACGCUAGCGGCAGGCCUAAUACAUGCAAGUCGGACGGUAAAUGGCCCUUCGGGGCUAUGAGAGUGGCGCACGGGUGCGUAACGCGUAUGCAACCUACCCAAUGCUGGCGGAUAGCCCGGAGAAAUUCGGAUUAAGCCGUCAUGAGGAGCGGAGAGGGCAUCCUUUCUGUUUCAAAUAUUCAUAGGCGUUGGAUGGGGAUGCGUGACAUUAGAUAGUAGGCGGGGUAACGGCCCACCUAGUCUACGAUGUCUAGGGGUUCUGAGAGGAAGGUCCCCCACACUGGAACUGAGACACGGUCCAGACUCCUACGGGAGGCAGCAGUGAGGAAUAUUGGUCAAUGGUCGGAAGACUGAACCAGCCAAGUAGCGUGAAGGAUGAAGGUUCUAUGGAUUGUAAACUUCUUUUAUACGGGAAUAAAACACCUUACGUGUAGGGUCUUGUAUGUACCGUAUGAAUAAGCAUCGGCUAACUCCGUG
Molecule: ribosomal RNA, 481 nt
Filed under: uncultured bacterium
Lineage: Bacteria
Description: bacterial SSU rRNA
Rfam family: Bacterial small subunit ribosomal RNA
Source: RNAcentral